RNAcentral lists this ribosomal RNA (430 nucleotides) under Pseudomonadota bacterium. RNAcentral describes it as "Proteobacteria bacterium partial 16S ribosomal RNA". It matches the Rfam family "Bacterial small subunit ribosomal RNA", at positions 355 to 776 of the family's 1533-position model. Lineage: Bacteria; Pseudomonadati; Pseudomonadota. The record is from RNAcentral.
UGGGGAAUAUUGGACAAUGGGCGCAAGCCUGAUCCAGCCAUGCCGCGUGUGUGAAGAAGGCCUUAUGGUUGUAAAGCACUUUAAGCGAGGAGGAGGCUACUUUAGUUAAUACCUAGAGAUAGUGGACGUUACUCGCAGAAUGAGCACCGGCUAACUCUGUGCCAGCAGCCGCGGUAAUACAGAGGGUGCAAGCGUUAAUCGGAUUUACUGGGCGUAAAGCGCGCGUAGGCGGCUAAUUAAGUCAAAUGUGAAAUCCCCGAGCUUAACUUGGGAAUUGCAUCCAAAACUGGCGAGCUAGAGUAGGGCAGAGGGUGGUGGAAUUUCCUGUGUAGCGGUGAAAUGCGUAGAUAUAGGAAGGAACACCAGUGGCGAAGGCGACCACCUGGGCUCAUACUGACACUGAGGUGCGAAAGCGUGGGGAGCAAACAGG